RNAcentral lists this transfer RNA (85 nucleotides) under Felis catus (domestic cat). It matches the Rfam family "tRNA". From Rfam's summary of the family: Transfer RNA (tRNA) molecules are approximately 80 nucleotides in length. The record is from Rfam by way of RNAcentral. Lineage: Eukaryota; Metazoa; Chordata; Mammalia; Carnivora; Felidae. RNAcentral also lists the same sequence under 3 other names.
CCUGGAGUGGCUCAGUGAGUAAAGUGACUGACUUCAGAUCAGAUCAUGAUCUUGCAGCCUGUGAGUUCAAGCCCCGCCUCAGGGU